CAGAUUGAACGCUGGCGGCAGGCCUAACACAUGCAAGUCGAGCGGUAGCACAGGGAGCUUGCUCCUGGGUGACGAGCGGCGGACGGGUGAGUAAUGUCUGGGAAACUGCCUGAUGGAGGGGGAUAACUACUGGAAACGGUAGCUAAUACCGCAUAACGUCUACGGACCAAAGUGGGGGUCUUCGGGCCUCAUGCCAUCAGAUGUGCCCAGAUGGGAUUAGCUAGUAGGUGGGGUAAUGGCUCACCUAGGCGACGAUCCCUAGCUGGUCUGAGAGGAUGACCAGCCACACUGGAACUGAGACACGGUCCAGACUCCUACGGGAGGCAGCAGUGGGGAAUAUUGCACAAUGGGCGCAAGCCUGAUGCAGCCAUGCCGCGUGUGUGAAGAAGGGCUUCGGGUUGUAAAGCACGUUCAGCGAGGAGGAAGGGUUCAGUGUUAAUAGCACUGUGCA
Molecule: ribosomal RNA, 451 nt
Filed under: Serratia proteamaculans
Lineage: Bacteria; Pseudomonadati; Pseudomonadota; Gammaproteobacteria; Enterobacterales; Yersiniaceae
Description: bacterial SSU rRNA
Rfam family: Bacterial small subunit ribosomal RNA
Source: RNAcentral